GGUUGGGCAAGGACGACACUCCGGGCCCUACCGGCGGAAGCUCUGCUCCUGUCGUGCGUGGACCACGCAGCAAAUGGCCUUGGAGGCUGCUGGCAGCCAUCUUGUGACCAUGAGGCAAGUCAGCGCAGGCCGAAGCUGACGACGCGAAGACAAUGAGGAGAGGGAGAAAGAGCCGAUCUUUGGCAUCUAAGCCGGGCACAUUGGCCCAAGCCUGUAAUCCCAGCACUUUGGGAGGCCGAGGCAGGCGGAUCACUUAAGCUCAGGAGUUCGAAACCAGCCUGGCCAAGAUGGUGAAACCCCAUCUCUACUAAAAAUACAAAAGAUUAGCCGGCUGUGAUGACGCGCACCUGUAAUCUCAGCUACUCGGGAGGCUGAGGCACGAGAAUCGCUUGCACCCAGGAGGUGGAGGCUGCAGUGAGCCGAGAUCACGCCAGGGCACUCCGGCCUGGGCGACAGAGUGAGACUUCGUCUCAAGAAAAACCAAAAAUCCAAAAGAACUACAGGCAUCGGCUGUGUCCCCACUAGGAAGCCGGAGGGGAGCAGGGCUGGGUGUGUCUUCUCUGGCUGCGUCCCUGCGGCCACAAGGCCUGUUCUUCCUCUGUGCCCCGCCUGCCAAGGACCCAGCCUUGUGAAGGAUGGAUGAAUGAAUCAUUGAGCAAAUGAAUGAGUGUGUGAACAGGGAGAGUCUGCAGCAGGGAGACCCCGGCAGCUUCGAGUAUGGAGGGGAGACUCUGGCCGCCUGAGCCCCGCAGAGCAGGCUUCGUGAUGCCUGGAGACACCCACUUCCCCUUCCUUCUCCUGGGACUUCUCAGUCACACGGGCUGAGCUGCAGAGGAGCUGGCUGCCAGGUGCUGAGCCGCCCCAAGAAAAAGCCCUCGUGGCAAGAAACUGAGGCCUCCAGCCAGCAGUCAGGGACCCGAGGCCUGAGACGGUGGAGGGUGAGCUUGCAAAGGGACCCCACAGUCGGGCCUUGAGAGGCCCACGGGCCUGGCCCACACCUCGGCUGCAGCCUUGUGAAGGUCCCUGAGCAGGGGACCCAGACUUCUGUCCUACAGAAACUUGGAGAUAAUAAAUGCCUGCUCUUCUACGGCACUGAGUGUCGGGUGAUUUGUUACGGGCAGUAGACAGCUAAUACCUGCCCCUUAGGACACCAAGUCCUCGCCUCCUGGAGGCCCAAGCCCCAGGGAGCCAUGCCUGACUUGCCGCCUGUCGAUGGGCCACGCGUUCCUUGUUGAUGCCAUUCUGGGGUCCCCUCACCCUGACAUACUAGGAGCCAGUUCCGAGGGAGGCUCUUCUGCCACCAACCCUGGCCCAGGGGGACACUGAGCUCCUUGAUGCUGAGGGCCGGUGGUUCCUUAUCGCCUGGCGACCAGCGUGUCCUCCGGGUCCUUUUCCAAUACCAGCACCUCCCAGCUCAAAAACACAACCCAGCACUCCUGUUCCUCCGUCUCCCGGCCCUCCCUCGACACUGGGCCGAGGCAGCCUGUGCACCUGCCCCAAGCUCCCAGGAGCUGACCCAGCAGCGGAUUCGGCCUGGUUCCCGGCAUCCUUACCGGGAUUUGGAAAAUGCUCCUUUCAAUCAAUAAAGGCCCCACGCGGGCCUUCUUCCGCCCUCCCCUCCAGCAUCCUCCAUCUCCAUUUCCACCCGUCCUCCCCGUCCUGCCAGGCCGCAGCUCCUUGCAGAAUAACCCACACCCUCCAGUCGCAGGGACAGAACACCCUAGUUACUGGCCUAGAAUUUUGCGGGGGACGAGGACAGGCAGACCCUAAGGAGGACACUCGCCUCAGGUGAGACCUUUGCAAGGUCCCGGCAGUGGGAGCCACUCCCGCCACUGCGGAGGGAACAGAGGGCAGGGAUCUAAGAGGCUUCUACCCAAAUACCGCAUCCAGGUCAUAGCGUCCCACCCCCCGCUGCCACCGGGGCCCUGACUUCAACACGGGAGGCAGACCAGACGCCACCGCCCUGGGAUCAGAGCUUGGGCCCGAGGGUUGGCCCCGUCUGCACUCUGGCUUUCGGAAUGAGGCUCGCUGUCAAUGCUGUGGUGGAGCUGCAUUCGUUUCCGGGGCUUCUAUAACAAGGUGCCAUAGAACAGGGCUCCAACAGCAGCCCAUUCUCCCACUGUCCUGGAGGCUGGAAGUUCGAGACCAAGGUGCCUGCAGAGUUGGUUCCUCCUGAGGCCUUUCUCCCUGGCUUGUAGAUGGCCCUCUUCUCCUGACUCCUCACACAGAGUCAUCCCUCUGUGUGUAUCUGUGUCCUAGUCUCUCUUCUUUUUCUUUUCGCUUCUUCUUUUUUUUUUUUUGAAGACAGGGUCUCUCUCUCUCUGUCACCCAGGCUGGAGUGCAGUGGUGUUAUCAUAGCUCACUGCAGCCUAGACCUCCCAGGCUCAGGUGAUGCUCCUACCUCAGCCUCCCAAGUAGCUGGGACCACAGACAUGUGUCACCACACCCGACUAAUUUUUUAUAUUUUGUUGUAGAGAUGGGGUCUCACUAUGUUGCCCAGGCUCAACUGGCUUUAAGCCAUCCUCCCACCUCGACCUUCCAAAGUGUUGGGAUUACAGGUGUGAGCCACUGAGCCUGGCCCUUAUCUCUUUUUCUCAGGACACGACUCAGGCCGGGCGUGGUGGCUCAUGCCUAUAAUCCCAGCACAUUGGGAGGCCAAGACGGGCGGAUCACCUGAGGUCAGGAGUUCCAGACCAGCCUGGUCAGCAUGGUGAAACCCCGUCUCUACUAAAAAUAUAAAAAUUAGCCAGGUGUGGUGGCCAGCGCCUGUAAUCCCAGCUACUCGGGAGGCUGAGGCAGGAGAAUCGCUUGAACCCAGGAGGCGGAGGUUGCAGUGAGCCAAGAUCGCACCAUUGCACUCUAGCCUGGGUGACAGAGUGGGACUCCGUCUCAAAAAAUAAAAAAAGUGGGGGAUGGGGGUGGGGGUGGGGGUGGGCCAGGCGCGGUGGCUCACGCCUGUAAUCCCAUCACUUUGGGAGGCCGAGACGGGUGGAUCACCUGAGGUCAGAAGUUCGAGACCAGCCUGACCAACAUGGGGAAACUUCAUCUCUACUAAAAAAUACAAAAAUUAGCCGGGUGUGGUGGUGGGUGCCUGUAAUCCCAGGUGCUCAGGAGGCGAAGCAGAAGAAUCACUUGAACCCAAGAGGUGGAGGUUGCAGUGAGCCAAGCUCGUGACACUGCACUCCAGACUGGGUGACAGAGCAAGACUUCAUUUCAAAGGAAAAAAAAAACAAGGCCAGCGGUCAUGUGGGAACAGGACUCGCUGUAAUCCCCUCUUUAAAGGCCAUAUCUGUAAAUACAG
This 3301-nucleotide long non-coding RNA is filed under the name Homo sapiens (human). RNAcentral describes it as "HSALNT0246283". Lineage: Eukaryota; Metazoa; Chordata; Mammalia; Primates; Hominidae. The record is from RNAcentral.